UGGCAAGAUUUGUGCCACCAUUUGUGGCGCUAUUUUAUUUCUACUUUAAUUUCAAAUUUAUUUACAACAACUAUAAUGAUAAGCGAAGGUGGGGACCAAACAUUUACCCCUUCACAGAAACAUAAACAUAAAGUUUAUGAAAGAAACAGAUAUAAAAUAAACAUUAUAACUAUAUAAAACUAAAAAGUUAUUCUACUCAAGAUGUAAUAGCUUAACAAAGUAACAUAAUGUCAUGAGUCUUCUAAAUACAAUGCUUUCAUAAACUUUCUCAAACUUCUCCCCAGUAUUAUGAGUUUAAAAGGAGGUUUUUGGGGACGAGGUGGAAAAUCAAUAAAAUGAAAAUUAAUUGAUUAAUCCUUUGAUCAAAAUUUUCAAGUAGUUCAAGAUCAUCAAGAAAUGCGUGCGCAUCAAACUUAUCACUAUUCAUGAGCAGUUAAUUUAGACAAUAGCCGAAACAACAUCGGGUUGGACAUUACACAGAUGCUCUGUUCUUCGUAUAAGGUGGCACGGUAGUAUUCCUGGCCCAUAAGGGAUAAUGAUAGCUUUUGGCUCACCUGGCCCGAAGGGCCAAGUGAGCUU
RNAcentral lists this long non-coding RNA (579 nucleotides) under Mytilus galloprovincialis (Mediterranean mussel). The record is from RNAcentral. Lineage: Eukaryota; Metazoa; Mollusca; Bivalvia; Mytilida; Mytilidae.